Molecule: long non-coding RNA, 204 nt
Filed under: Ananas comosus (pineapple)
Lineage: Eukaryota; Viridiplantae; Streptophyta; Magnoliopsida; Poales; Bromeliaceae
Description: long non-coding RNA (ACOM_LNC013096)
Source: RNAcentral
AAAUUUAAACCAUAUUUUAAUUUAUUCUUUGACCUUAAUUCUGAAUUGCGAUAUGAAUUCACAUUUAAAUUAACAUUAAAAUUUAAAUUUAAAUCACAAUUCGAACUAAACAUUCAAAUUCAUAAUUUGAAUUCAAAAUUCAAACUGAAACUCAUUAUUAAAAUUAAAUCUAAAUCAUAAAUUUAAAUUUUAUUUUAAGAAUUA